GGGCCGUUAGCUCAACCGGUAGAGCAAGUGACUCUUAAUCACUAGGUUCGGUGUUCGAUCCACCGACGGCUCACCA
This 76-nucleotide transfer RNA is filed under the name bacterium. RNAcentral describes it as "tRNA-Lys". It matches the Rfam family "tRNA". From Rfam's summary of the family: Transfer RNA (tRNA) molecules are approximately 80 nucleotides in length. Their secondary structure includes four short double-helical elements and three loops (D, anti-codon, and T loops). The record is from RNAcentral.